Dreissena polymorpha is the source of this 807-nucleotide long non-coding RNA. RefSeq lists it as uncharacterized. The record is from RefSeq and is a predicted model, not a curated record. The transcript is spliced from 3 exons. Lineage: Eukaryota; Metazoa; Mollusca; Bivalvia; Myida; Dreissenidae.
CACAGGUCGAGGCUCAAGAUGACACCGGUGAAAACAAUGUGCAUGAUAAUCGUUGCCAUGGCAAUUUUGUCGAUUUUCCAGUCCCGAAAUCUUGUUCAAGCCCAGUCAGUGGUAAACAGCCCAAGUUUUCAUCGUGUUAACUUCCGUACGGGUCCAGACGGACGACCGAACCUUGGGGGCAUCGGGAACGAGCUGGACGUUUUUUUCGGCGGCGCUGAUCCUAUGAGCACCGGAAGUCGAGGACCCUUUAUGAGACCACCUCCUAUGAUGCGAUUACCAGGACGGUUUAGAAUGAUCUUCUGGUGAAAUCAUAUUCCUUACUGUCAUUCCACUCGCUGUCAUCGACUCAUUUAUUUAUUCCUGUAUGUUGUAUAGUCAUGCUUCAACACAUGUUUAUGCCAUUUUAUUAAUAUGUUUGAAUGUUUUUGUUUAGGUUUUUUAUUAGAAUUGAUGUUGUUUUUUAAUUAAUCGUAUCGAGUUUUAUGUUUUAGUUUUUUAUAAGGUCUUUAUUACAUUUUUUUAGUUUUACGUAUUAACUUUAUAAUGAUUCAUUUGUUAUAGGAAAAUUUUUGAAAUGAUUAAUAGGGAACUUAUAAUGUUUAUUGAUUAGUUGUAUGGACACGAAACAUGUGUUUUAAUUUAAUGUUCAAAUGUUUUUGUGUGUUGUUUUCUUGUCGCACAUACGAAUAAUACAAUAUAACAGAGUCGAGCUUUCAUAAAUUGAGCUGCGUUCUGAGAAAACUGGGCUUAAUGCAUGUGCGUAAAGUGUCAUUCCAGAUUAGCCUGUGCAGUCCGCACAGGCUAAUC